Ficedula albicollis (Collared flycatcher) is the source of this 691-nucleotide long non-coding RNA. RefSeq lists it as uncharacterized. The record is from RefSeq and is a predicted model, not a curated record. The transcript is spliced from 2 exons. Lineage: Eukaryota; Metazoa; Chordata; Aves; Passeriformes; Muscicapidae.
UCUUCGACCACUGACCAAACUCCACUUCAAGCAGUCCCGAGGACUGCUCUUCCCCUUGCCCACGGACCUGUUCUGCUCAGUCCUUGAAUCUCCCAGGAUCAUGCCGAAAAUUUUGCACUGGAGCACAGCACUGGUACUUGCACAAAGUGGAUUUUGCACUUAAUGUCAGCAGCUUCCUUUCUGGGAAGAACCUCGGGAGUAACCAGGAGUGUGUGGAGUGCCUGAAUAACCUGUUGUGUCCCCAAUGUCCUCAAUCACCAGAGCCCAGCAAGGGGUGAGUGAGAACCAGGCAACACUCAGGAACUCCAUGUCCACAGCAGCUGCACGCCCACCACACACCCUCCUGUGUGACACAACCCUCCUGCUCACUGCCAGAGAAACAAAAGCACAGCAAAAAGCAAGGUAUGGGAACAUGGGAGCCUUCUACAUGCAAGGUUUGUUGCAUGGGGACCAGCAAGGGCAGGGGAUCCCACGUCCCUACAGUUCCAGAAACCCGUGGCCAGGACACUGCAGGACACCUGCCUGGCUCCCAGCUCACAAACAUGGGAAACUGCUAUCAGCCUGUGAGUAUUCCACCCAGGUCUGCAACACUGGAUAACACUAUUGUUUGUCCCUUCACAUUCCUGCAAGUCCCAGUGCCAUUGGCCUCUUGUAUCAUAAAGAAAUUAAAAUAUAUUAUGACCAUAAACUA